GAUGAAGAACGCAGCGAAAUGCGAUAAGUAAUGUGAAUUGCAGAAUUCAGUGAAUCAUCGAAUCUUUGAACGCACCUUGCGCCCUUUGGCCAUUCCGAAGGGCAUGCCUGUUUGAGUAUCAUGAACACCUCAACUCUCAUGGCUCGCCAUGAUGAGCUUGGAUUUGGGGGUCUUGCUGGCCUGUGGUCGGCUCCUCUCAAAUGGAUCAGCUUGCCAGUGUUUGGUGGCAUCACAGGUGUGAUAACUAUCUGCGCUUGUGGUUUUCCAUCAGAUAACCUUCAGUGAUGGAGGUUCGCUGGAGCUCAUAAACGUCUCCCCUAAGCGGGGACAGCCCUUUGAAUGUUUGAUCUCAAAUCAGGUAGGACUACCCGCUGAACUUAAGCAUAUCAAUAAGCGGAAGA
RNAcentral lists this unclassified non-coding RNA (401 nucleotides) under soil metagenome. Its description in RNAcentral is "partial contains 5.8S ribosomal RNA, internal transcribed spacer 2, and large subunit ribosomal RNA". The stretch from base 1 to 121 matches the Rfam family "5.8S ribosomal RNA", at positions 35 to 154 of the family's 154-position model. The record is from RNAcentral.